Marmota monax (woodchuck) is the source of this 427-nucleotide long non-coding RNA. RefSeq lists it as uncharacterized. The transcript has 3 exons. The record is from RefSeq and is a predicted model, not a curated record. Lineage: Eukaryota; Metazoa; Chordata; Mammalia; Rodentia; Sciuridae.
GCUGAACUCAACCCGCGGGUAGGACGAGCUCGGACCAGCUGAACCUCUUGUUGGUUUUAUACCGAGUCGACGUCAUCCUGGAUUUAGUUCCUGACGCUUUGGGUCAGAAAACUACCAUGACAGUCCCUAGGUCCUUACACAACGAAGACCGAAUUCAGCCACUAUUUAAAGUUCAAGAGUAGCACUCAGAAGCGAUGCUUCCAGCUGCCCCCUGCGUGGGUGUCGCACGGCCGCCCGCUGGAGCCGCCGGAGGUGCAGCCAGUCCAUUCUGCGCGCAGGCUGUUGAGCGCUCUUCGAGAAGGUAGGCGACAGUGUGCGCGGAACGAAAGAGCCCCUGAGGUCCUGCGGCCUGGGCGCAAGCCCCUGGACUCCAAAGCCGUCUUUCUUCGGGGCUUUGCGCCAGCAACGACAGCCAUUCCAGGGGGAA